GUUCUCACCUUGGCAGUACAUAUUCUAAAAUUGAAUGAAACAUAGUAGAUUAAUACGGCCCCUGCGCAAGGAUGACAUACAAACUAGCGAAGUAUUCCAUAUUUUU
Small nuclear RNA from Phyllostomus discolor (pale spear-nosed bat), 106 nucleotides. The record is from RefSeq and is a predicted model, not a curated record. Lineage: Eukaryota; Metazoa; Chordata; Mammalia; Chiroptera; Phyllostomidae.